AUGGUGGUCAUUCAACCUUGGUUCCAAUGGGUCCAUAUACAGAAUUCCUCUCCAAAGCCAUUUUUCCUGGCCUCUGGGGAGGAGGCAAGCCAGGUCUGCACUUGGACAGGGCCUGAUGCUCCAAAUUUUGCCCUUUUGGAUCUGUGUGAACCUGCCAAGGUGGCCACAGUCUUCAUAGAGGCAGUGUGUCUAGUGAGCAGGUCAGCAGACAAGAAGGCAGACUUCAAAACCUAUAGCAUUUUCUUCUUCCUUUCUUCUUCAGAUGGCAGGAGGCAGGAGAUCCAGCUGAAGAGAAGAGGGUCUGACAGCAAGUUGCUGACCCAGCUUCUAGCACAGCUGCCCUCUUCCACAGAAUGGGAAGAAGGAACCUUUUGUGCCUCUCCGUACCAUCAUCCUCAACACUCGGUAGAAAACAAGCAAGACCCUUCUAUCUUGGAGAAGUCUGGCCACUUGUUCCGCAGAGGCUGCUGUGGAAAGGAGCCAUUCCGCGUGCCAGGAUGAUUGGAGGGAUGAAAUCCUACCUGGGAAACGAGAGCAACAUGGGGAGUAGGCUACAGCCCUGUCCCAGCUACAUGGCCUUGGACAUGUCCUUUAGCCUUCUGGGACCUCUCUUUCUCCGUCUAUCAAACAAGGGGGCUCUAAAGACUUUCCCUCUUCAGUGACCUUGCCUUUACUUGGAGUAAAUGUUGCGGCCAUGGGAGAGGGGGCAGGCUCCUCGUUCUCACGGGUCUUCCGCCAGGCCCAAGGCCUCCCCCAGCCCUGCUACCCCGGAGGGCUCCUCCUAGCCCCUGAAAGAAUCUUCCCUUCCCUCUUAAGGAUUGAUCAUGCUCAGAAAUCAGCCGAUUUGGGGGACCAACAUGAAAAACAAAACCCUACAAGGAAACUUUUUGAUAAGCCCUCCACCUUUACACACACACACACACACACACACACACACAAACACACAUACUCAAUCCCUGACGUGUAAACAUUUUCCCUUCUGUAUGUCAAGCCUAUUUUACCCUUUCUCAUUGCCAGUGUGUUAGGAGAGAAUCCAUUCCCACCACUUCCUUCUAGAGAACUUAGCUAAUCCUCAGUGUUUGGGGGUGACCCUGGGCAUAGGUUGAAGCUAAAGGUCUUUACGUACCUCACCUGCGGCCCAUAAAUGCAGACUCUACCAGCCGAGACUGAGGCAGUGACUGGUUAGCACAGUGCCAGGGUCCAGAUCCUUCGCUCCUCACUCGUCCACCCCCACUGCCUCCUCCAGCCAUAGAUUCGCUCUUCUGUCAUGGUGGUUGCCUGCUCGAGCCUGCCUGUCUGCCUGCCCAAAGUGCUGUGGAUUGUUCUGUUGUGUACCGUGUAUACGUGUGUCCUGACUGUGGUUUACUACAAAUAAACACAACGGUGGACUGCUGACCUCUGACCUCCUGGUGGUUCCUUUUCAAGCCAUUGCUCAAGAAAUCAGGAUCGUCUGAUCAACCGCAGGGCACUGGAGACGAGCAGGCUCGUCUAGACUGUUCUGUAGCCUCGUCACAGGGGCCCACUGCCAGGGGUUCCACUGAUAACGCCAGCACUGGGAAGAAUGGAAAGUCUCUGUUGCCACUUUCCUGGUGUGGCAGGAGGGGGA
This 1606-nucleotide long non-coding RNA is filed under the name Ailuropoda melanoleuca (giant panda). Its description in RNAcentral is "lncRNA (ENSAMEG00000030910.1)". The record is from RNAcentral. Lineage: Eukaryota; Metazoa; Chordata; Mammalia; Carnivora; Ursidae.